GACGAACGCUGGCGGCGUGCUUAACACAUGCAAGUCGAGCGGUAAGGCCCUUUCGGGGGUACACGAGCGGCGAACGGGUGAGUAACACGUGGGUGACCUGCCCUUAGCUCUGGGAUAAGCCUGGGAAACUGGGUCUAAUACCGGAUAUGACUCCAUGACGCAUGUUGUGGGGUGGAAAGCCUUGUGCGGCUGAGGAUGGGCCCGCGGCCUAUCAGCUUGUUGGUGGGGUGAUGGCCACCAAGGCGACGACGGGUAGCCGGCCUGAGAGGGCGACCGGCCACACUGGGACUGAGAUACGGCCCAGACUCCUGCGGGAGGCAGCAGUGGGGAAUCUUGCGCAAUGGGCGAAAGCCUGACGCAGCGACGCCGCGUGGAGGAUGAAGAUCUUCGGGUCGUAAACUCCUUUCGAUCGAGACGAAUUU
RNAcentral lists this ribosomal RNA (422 nucleotides) under uncultured bacterium. Its description in RNAcentral is "bacterial SSU rRNA". It matches the Rfam family "Bacterial small subunit ribosomal RNA", at positions 28 to 452 of the family's 1533-position model. The record is from RNAcentral.